CUGCGCUAGGUGGGGAGCUUGCGGUGCCCUAUUCCUGCAAUCCGCAACAGCAGGGCUGAAUGCUGAUCGCGGUUCUGGCUAUGUGAGGUCUGCCUCAAAUAAGUGAUGUUGAUAUCAAGGUCUUGUGCAAUCAUCCCCUGUGAACCAUGUCAGGACUUGACCGUAGCAGCAUUAAGCAGAUCGUAUGAUGUGCCACAAGGUUGCUUUGAAGGAGUUAACUGUUUGUGUUACGCUUGGGUAGUCAUUAUCAGAAUCAGAUGCGCAG
This 265-nucleotide signal recognition particle RNA is filed under the name Clostridia bacterium. RNAcentral describes it as "signal recognition particle sRNA large type". It matches the Rfam family "Bacterial large signal recognition particle RNA". From Rfam's summary of the family: The signal recognition particle (SRP) is a universally conserved ribonucleoprotein involved in the co-translational targeting of proteins to membranes. Archaeal SRP consists of a 7S RNA and homologues of the eukaryotic SRP19 and SRP54 proteins. Lineage: Bacteria; Bacillati; Bacillota; Clostridia. The record is from RNAcentral.